ACAAACCCUACUUCUGAUUCAUCACCAAAAUCAAAUCCUUCCUCUUUAAAAUCUUUCGCUUAGAUCCCCUGGUUCUAGCUGCUCUUUAACUCUUUAUCUCAACUCAAACAUAUACCACCAAAAUGAGUGUGGAAGUUUUGGACGGUGCCACCAUUGUCAACUUUGUGGAGGACGAGGAAGCAUUCACUAUGUCAAUACGUGAACGUUUUGCCCACCUCGACAUUGACCAAGAUGGUCUGCUUUCCUACACAGAAAUGUUAAAGGAGCUGCAGAGUCUGAGGGUUUUCGAGACUCACUUUGGG
Molecule: unclassified non-coding RNA, 302 nt
Filed under: Hevea brasiliensis (rubber tree)
Lineage: Eukaryota; Viridiplantae; Streptophyta; Magnoliopsida; Malpighiales; Euphorbiaceae
Source: RNAcentral